This 301-nucleotide ribosomal RNA is filed under the name uncultured bacterium. RNAcentral's name for it is "partial 16S ribosomal RNA". It matches the Rfam family "Bacterial small subunit ribosomal RNA", at positions 509 to 807 of the family's 1533-position model. The record is from RNAcentral.
CAGUAGCCGCGGUAAUACAGAGGGUGCGAGCGUUAAUCUGAUUUACUGGGCGUAAAGCGUGCGUAGGCGGCUUUUUAAGUCGGAUGUGAAAUCCCUGAGCUUAACUUAGGAAUUGCAGUCGAUACUGGGAAGCUAGAGUAUGGGAGAGGAUGGUAGAAUUCCAGGUGUAGCGGUGAAAUGCGUAGAGAUCUGGAGGAAUACCGAUGGCGAAGGCAGCUAUCUGGCCUAAUACUGACGCUGAGGUACGAAAGCAUGGGGAGCAAACAGGAUUAGAUACCCCAGUAGUCCCUGUCUCUUAUAC